Molecule: ribosomal RNA, 255 nt
Filed under: uncultured bacterium
Lineage: Bacteria
Description: partial 16S ribosomal RNA
Rfam family: Bacterial small subunit ribosomal RNA
Source: RNAcentral
UACGUAGGGUGCAAGCGUUGUCCGGAAUUAUUGGGCGUAAAGAGCUCGUAGGCGGUCUGUCGCGUCUGCUGUGAAAACUCAGGGCUUAACCCUGAGCUUGCAGUGGGUACGGGCAGACUAGAGUGCGGUAGGGGAGACUGGAAUUCCUGGUGUAGCGGUGAAAUGCGUAGAUAUCGAGAGGAACACCAGUGGCGAAGGCGAGUCCCUGGACAACACCUGACAGCUGAGGCACGAAAGCCCGGGGGAGCAAACAGG